GGUUAUCAACCUUUAGUCUACCACUCCAGUAAGGUUAUCAACCUCUAGUCUUCUAUCUACCACCCAGUAGGUUUAUCAACAUUUAGUCUACCACCCCAGUAAGGUUAUCAACCUUUAGUCUGCCACCUACCACCCCAGUAAGGUUAUCAACCUUUAGUCUACCACUCCAGUAAGGUUAUCAACCUCUAGUCUACCACCUACCACCCUGAUAAGGUUAUCAAUCUCUAGUCUACCACCCCAGUAAGGUUAUCAACCUUUAGUUUACCACCCCAGUAAGGUUAUUAAUCUCUAGUCUACAACCUACCACCCCAGUAAGAUUAUCAACCUCUUGUCUGCCACCUACCACCCCAGUAAGGUUAUCAACCUUUAGUCUACCACCCCAGUAAGGUUAUCAACCUUUAGUCUACCACCCCAGUAAGGUUAUCAACUUUUAGUCUACCACCCUAGUAAGGUUAUCAACUUUUAGUCUACCACCCCAGUAAGGUUAUCAACCUUUAGUCUACUACCCCAGUAAGGUUAUUAACCUCUAGUCUGUCACCUACCAACCCAGUAUGGUUAUCAACCUUUAGUCUAGCACCCCAGUAAGGUUAUCAACCUCUCGUCUACCACCCCAGAUCAGACGUGUCACAUCACAUCUGCUCAUGUAGCCUGCAACAAAUAUCACAUUUCCUCGUGAGGAGUGUAAGUGUUGGAAUCAUCCCAAACAUAGGCAUUGUCUUUAGAUUGAAUGUGCGUGUGUGU
Molecule: long non-coding RNA, 741 nt
Filed under: Salmo salar (Atlantic salmon)
Lineage: Eukaryota; Metazoa; Chordata; Actinopteri; Salmoniformes; Salmonidae
Description: lncRNA (ENSSSAG00000121804.1)
Source: RNAcentral